CGCAAGGGUGAGUAAGGCGACGGCAACCAACCUCCCACCUGGGCAUAGCCGCGGGAAACCGCGGGUAAUACCCAGCGACGUCACGCGGGGACAUCCCCGCGUGACCAAAGGUGCGAUCCCGGUGGGAGACGGGCCGUCGUGGUAUCAGCUUGUUGGCGGGGUAAUGGCCCACCAAGGCGUUGACGCCUACCGGGCGUGCGAGCGUGGCCCGGCACACUGGGACUGAGACACUGCCCAG
Molecule: ribosomal RNA, 238 nt
Filed under: uncultured bacterium
Lineage: Bacteria
Description: partial 16S ribosomal RNA
Rfam family: Bacterial small subunit ribosomal RNA
Source: RNAcentral